GAGGAAGCAGGCCAGCUGAAGCCAAGUCUGUGGCAGGUGGACCAAACUGUACACAUGAAAGGAAGCAUUCCUGCAUGACAACAGAUUGUAUGUGCCCAGGAAGCCAGAGUCUGCCCCCCGCCCCCCAUGUGCUUGUGCCAGCCCAGGUUUAGCCCAUCAACACAGCCCACAAGGAAAAUACCUAUAAGAAGCAUGACCCAGGAAGAAACAGGUGGGCUUCAGAACAGCGCUGGAACGACCCCCAUCACCCUUUCUGAGGACUGAUCACCCCCAGAAAAGGGCCUUCAGGAUGAGUAAUGCAUGUGUUUGGGCACAAGCUCCUUCAUCAGGCAACAUGCACCUGGAUGUAUUUCUGGCCAUCUUGUCUGCCCAGCCUUCUCAGAAUGACACCUUCCAUGUGCAUAAUAAUGAACUGCAAGUACUUCCAAGCCUGUCAUAGCUCUAUGCUUUUGAAAAUCAGUCUGUUCUCAAGCACACACCGUUCCACCAAUACUGCAUGCACUUCUAUCGGAACAACAGCAGGAUAGUAGGAGGACUAUGGCAAGACUACUAUGGACUUAUCAAAUUUGUCAGCACAAAGAUCUUCAGGAUACAAGAGUGCCAUCUUGUUGAAAACCUAGCAAACACUGCAUUUCUUGCCAUUUUCUAUGGCUUUAAGAUGCAUUCUGGCAGUUAAUGGCAUGUACGUGAGAUAUCCUAAUCUCAUUUGAUUUUUACAACACUUUUGAGAGCUAUGUUGGCGAAAAGGCAGUGAUUUUACCCAAGAUCUCAUGAGAGGUUUCAUUACUUGAGCAGCUAUCUCCUUUGAUUAAAUCCAGUGCUGAACUUCCAGCUAUACUGACAACUAAACCACAGUGUGUACUCUCUAACAGGAGAAACUUCAUUAUCUGUAUUCUCUGUCAAGUGAUGAUGAUAGUAACAAC
This is a long non-coding RNA of Pogona vitticeps (central bearded dragon), 923 nucleotides long. RefSeq lists it as uncharacterized. Lineage: Eukaryota; Metazoa; Chordata; Lepidosauria; Squamata; Agamidae. The record is from RefSeq and is a predicted model, not a curated record.